GACGAAGGUUCCUAGCGUUGUUCGGAAUCACUGGGCGUAAAGCGCAUGUAGGCGGCUUUUCAAGUCAGGUGUGAAAUCCGGUGGCUUAACCACCGAACUGCAUUUGAUACUGUUAAGCUUGAAUAUGGGAGAGGAUGGCGGAAUUCUUGGUGUAGUGGUGAAAUACGUAGAUAUCAAGAGGAAGACCGGUGGCGAAGGCGGCCAUCUGGCCCAAUAUUGACGCUGAGAUGCGAAAGCGUGGGGAUCAAACAGG
RNAcentral lists this ribosomal RNA (253 nucleotides) under uncultured bacterium. RNAcentral's name for it is "partial 16S ribosomal RNA". It matches the Rfam family "Bacterial small subunit ribosomal RNA", at positions 524 to 776 of the family's 1533-position model. The record is from RNAcentral.